This is a long non-coding RNA of Gasterosteus aculeatus aculeatus (three-spined stickleback), 2028 nucleotides long. The record is from Ensembl. Lineage: Eukaryota; Metazoa; Chordata; Actinopteri; Perciformes; Gasterosteidae.
CUUUGAUUUUGCCUUUUUGACAAUUAAAGUCUUUUGUUUCCGGAGAAGUCUGCGUUUGAGUCCUGCCUCCCCCACGCAUCCCUGACAGCGAGUGACUGAGCGGGACUAACCUUUCCAGAAACACUAAAUAGCCGAUGCUUGCAGUCUAUGCCCUUAUUUGUGAGUGUGAGAGAGUUAAAGAACAGAAGAAAAAAUGAAAGCGAGAAGAGUUUUGACCAGCGGUGCAGCUAUCAGCACCAAUAUGUAUCAAGCCCAAAGCAGCCGAGUCCUGAUGUCAUGGAUGACCUUUACGAUCAGACCUGCCACUUUAGUUACAGAUCAGUCCAAGAAGAGGCUCACAAACACCUUUACCGCACGCUACCAGCACCCCUCCAUUCUCUAUUCUGAUAUACACACCCCCACCUAGUGUGUAUGUCACUGUUCAUGUGUUUAUGUUUCAAAGCAAGAGUAAACUCUCUGCAGCUUUUGACAACCAAAAUAAAAGUGGACCUGUACAAGCAGCUGGACAUCCACUUUGAGACUUUGUAUGCAUAAAAAUAUCUCUUUCACAUCCACAACAAUUGAGUGUCAGAUUGAAGUAUUAGAGUUUAUGCACUUGUAGUUAAGAGGAAGAAACAGAAAAUCCUGUCAGACUAUAAAUUGCAUACUGUUGCCUUGUCCUUUAAUGCAGGUGGCUCACUCACUUUUAUCCAUCAAACCACAUGUAGCUGCUGAGGAUAUAAGUUGAGUCUGUUUUGUGGACGAGGGAGUAUGGUACAUCUGACUCUACACAACCUACAGGGGAAGACAGAGUGAAGAUGAAAAGAGGCGGAAAUCAUAGGGUUGAACAGACACAACUUUUCCUCCUCCUUAAAAUAGCGCGUGUUGAGUGGGUGACGCAGUGGCCUUUAAGAUGGGGAUAAAUUCCCCUGAGGAUGAGAGGAGACAGGGAGGGAGAUGGGGGAGGAUCAGAGGAGGCUGCAGCCUUGCUUGUUGGCCGCUCAUUGCCUCCGCAAGCUUAGACUCUCACAUUGUCUCACUCCUAUUUAGGCCUAAUCACAAACAGCCUGACAGCCUGAUUUUGUUUUCUCAAUUUAGAAAAAAGGCCUUUGUUACGUUAAUCUUCCCUCUUUUCAUAUGCUGGACCUUAAUUCUGAAUCCUGUUGCAGCCACUACAGCCAACACAUUUGUUGCCAAAUUGCCAUGAAAGCAGGAGACCUUGUUCAUGAUACAAUAUUGCAGUAGCAUUUAAAAACAAAAGCAAAGCUUAUCUUAGAACAUGAUGGCAAAUACUGCUUGUGCCUUAAAUCUAUAAAGGCAUGUUUAUUCCGACAUUAUCCCAUUUAUUGUCUAUAAAAUGGAGUCAUAAUCCCAUGGUCUACAAAGGGCUGUAUAGGUCACCAUUACAAGCGAUCUACUGAUUAAAGUCUACAGUUUUGUCCCAAGGGCAAAUGUACUUGGCAUCUCCAGCACCCGUCACUUAACCAGCCACAAGAAAGGACGUUAUCUUCUAAGAGCCAUCUUUCCCUUGCUGUCAUUAGCAUAAGCUAUGCACAGCAGUGUUUACCGCAUAUCACGUCAGCUCUGAUAGCAGUGAAAUUGAUUGCUAUUUCAAGCUCCGUAGUAGGUUCCUGUGGGUAAUUUGUGUGACUUUCCAGCAGCUGAUUUAGAUGAAGUGGUUUCGGUCUGGAACAGGGGACGACAGCUGCAGAAUGUAGAAUAGCUAACUGGUGACCUGUGAGUGAUGCACUGCCCUGCAUCUAUAGUGUAAAUGUAAAAGUUGUAUUUCUGAAAACUAUAACCUAAUUGAUGCGAGUACCGUGGAUCAUGGAAUCCGGUGCUGUAGACACGUGCUUUAAAUGAUGAGGGGUAUUGGAGUCACAGCGUUAUUCAAAUGGUGACAUGACAGUGGAUAGGCCGUCUUUUUUUGCUGUUUUCUGAAGUAUGAAUUGAUUUUGGGCCACUUUGGGGCGACGCAACAUGCUCAACAUGAUACAUUUCUUAGAUUCAUGUUUGUGGCAACUUGCAAAAUGCAGUAACUUUCUUUCU